UACGAAGGGGCUAGCGUUGCUCGGAAUGACUGGGCGUAAAGCGCACGUAGGCGGUUCGUUAUGUCGGAUGUGAAAGCCCUUGGCUUAACCGAGGAAGUGCAUCCGAAACUGGCGAGCUAGAGUACGAAAGAGGAUCGCGGAAUUCCCGGUGUAGAGGUGAAAUUCGUAGAUAGUCGGGAGGAACGACCGGUGGCGAAGGCGGCGAUCUGGUCGAGUACUGACGCUGAGACGGCGAAAGCGUGGGGAGCGAACAGGA
This 256-nucleotide ribosomal RNA is filed under the name uncultured bacterium. Its description in RNAcentral is "partial 16S ribosomal RNA". It matches the Rfam family "Bacterial small subunit ribosomal RNA", at positions 524 to 777 of the family's 1533-position model. The record is from RNAcentral.